AUACAAUCAGUUUAUCAACACAUCAGCUGUCACACCAAACACAAGAACUUCCACCGCCACGACAAUCACAACACACACCACAAUAUGUUUUCAUUUUAGUGGCUGUGUUUUCUGUAAUACUGUUACUGGCAUUUCUGGCAUUAUCUUCUAGAUGUGGAGAGGAUGAAGUGCCAUGUUCUGAUGUAGUCUAUGUUGAAACCAUCUACACCAGCUCAUGCACAGAACGACCCAGUAGAGAUCCCUGGGCAUAUCAAUACCCAUGCUAAAAAUCUUGAAAACAGGAUUUGUUCAUUUUAAACCUCAGAAUUCAUAUACACAUUGUUUAGACUGGAGCUUAUAGUCAUUGCAUUUUGAGAAUAUACUUGUACAAAAAGCCGCCUGAUUCAAAGUGGUAACCACUGAAUCAUGAAAAAUAAUUUUUGUCUAUACAGUAACUGUGUGCAGAAAAUAUUGAAUCUGUAAUUGAGCAUUUUUGAGCGACUUAUUUAAACAGCCAUGUGUUUUAUGUUACAUGUUUGGUAAUUGUUUGAAGCAAAAGUAUUAUGCUAAAAGUCUUAUAAUGUCCUGCUUUCUGAAA
Carassius carassius (crucian carp) is the source of this 577-nucleotide long non-coding RNA. RefSeq lists it as uncharacterized. The transcript has 3 exons. The record is from RefSeq and is a predicted model, not a curated record. Lineage: Eukaryota; Metazoa; Chordata; Actinopteri; Cypriniformes; Cyprinidae.